GAUGAACGCUGGCGGCGUGCUUAACACAUGCAAGUCGAACGGAAAGGCUCCUGCUUUCAGGGGUACUCGAGUGGCGAACGGGUGAGUACCACGUGGGUGAUCUGCCCUGCACUUCGGGAUAUUCCUGGGAAACUGGGUCUAAUCCCGGACAGGACGAUGGUUUGGAUGCCAUUGUGGAAAGCUUGUCGUUGUGGGGUAGGAUCGCGGCCUGUCAGCUUGUUGGUGGGGUAAUGGCAUACCAAGGCGACGACGGGGCGCCGACCUGAGAGGGAGUGCGGCCCAGUUGGGCCGGAGAUGCGGCACAGCCCACUAUGGGACGCAAGAGUGCAGAAUAGUAUACAAGGGACGCAAGCCUGCUGCAGCGACGCCGCGUGGGGGAUGACGGCAUUCGGGUAGGGAUGUACUGUCGCUAGCGACGAGGCGCUAGUGACGGUACCUGGAGAAGAAGCCCCGGCUAACUACGUG
This 465-nucleotide ribosomal RNA is filed under the name uncultured bacterium. RNAcentral's name for it is "partial 16S ribosomal RNA". It matches the Rfam family "Bacterial small subunit ribosomal RNA", at positions 28 to 507 of the family's 1533-position model. The record is from RNAcentral.